Molecule: ribosomal RNA, 484 nt
Filed under: uncultured bacterium
Lineage: Bacteria
Description: bacterial SSU rRNA
Rfam family: Bacterial small subunit ribosomal RNA
Source: RNAcentral
UAGUCCACGCCGUAAACGAUGUCUACUAGCCGUUGGGGUACUUGAGACCUUAGUGGCGCAGCUAACGCACUAAGUAGACCGCCUGGGGAGUACGGCCGCAAGGUUAAAACUCAAAUGAAUUGACGGGGCCCGCACAAGCGGUGGAGCAUGUGGUUUAAUUCGAUGAUACGCGAGGAACCUUACCAGGGCUUAAAUGCAUUUUGACAGGGCUGGAAACAGCUUUUUCUUCGGACAAUUUGCAAGGUGCUGCAUGGUUGUCGUCAGCUCGUGCUGUGAAGUGUCGGGUUAAGUCCCAUAACGAGCGCAACCCCUAUCUUCAGUUGCCAGCGGGUAAUGCCGGGGACUCUGGAGAAACUGCCACCGUAAGGUGAGAGGAAGGUGGGGAUGACGUCAAAUCAUCACGGCCCUUACGUCCUGGGGCUACACACGUGCUACAAUGGGCAGGGUACAGAGGGGCAGCCACCCCGCGAGGGGGAGCGGAAUC